AGUUGCAGAACGUCAUUGUGGGAUACAGCUCCAUAGGAACACCAAGAGAUGCAUCCUGAGGAUGAGCUCUUGGUGUGCAUCGCCCACAAGUACAAGAAGACCACAGCUCAGAUGGCCCUGCGGUUCAACAUCCAGAGAGGGGUGGUAGUCAUCCCAAAGAGCUUCAACCCACAGCGCAUAAAGGUUAACUUUUAGGCUGAAAUGAAGGCAAUGGAGGACCUAAACAAGAGCAUUCGGUU
Molecule: long non-coding RNA, 239 nt
Organism: Coregonus clupeaformis (lake whitefish)
Lineage: Eukaryota; Metazoa; Chordata; Actinopteri; Salmoniformes; Salmonidae
Exons: 3
Source: RefSeq, a predicted model, not a curated record